Molecule: small RNA, 29 nt
Filed under: Bombyx mori (domestic silkworm)
Lineage: Eukaryota; Metazoa; Arthropoda; Insecta; Lepidoptera; Bombycidae
Description: ovarian small RNA-25084
Source: RNAcentral
UCACAUUUAUAAGACAAUGAAGAUCGCGU